Molecule: ribosomal RNA, 456 nt
Filed under: uncultured bacterium
Lineage: Bacteria
Description: bacterial SSU rRNA
Rfam family: Bacterial small subunit ribosomal RNA
Source: RNAcentral
GAUUAACGCUGGCGGCGUGCAUAACACAUUCAAGUCGAACGGAGUGUAGCAAUACACUUAGUGGCGGACGGGUGAGUAACGCGUGAGCAAUCUACCCUCAGGUACGGAAUAACAACCGGAAACGAAUGGUAAUACCGCAUGAUGUCACGGAACCGCAUGAUUCUGUGACCAAAGGAGCAAUCCGCUGAAAGAUGGACUCGCGUCCGAUUAGCUAGUUGGAGAGGUAACGGCUCCCCAAGGCGACGAUCGGUAGCCGGACUGAGAGGUUGAACGGCCACAUUGGGACUGAGACACGGCCCAGACUCCUACGGGAGGCAGCAGUGGGGAAUAUUGCACAAUGGGGGAAACCCUGAUGCAGCAACGCCGCGUGAAGGAAGACGGUCUUCGGAUCGUAAACUUUUGUCUUAGGGGACGAUAGUGACGGUACCCUAGGAGGAAGCCACGGCUAACUACGUG